This 28-nucleotide small RNA is filed under the name Bombyx mori (domestic silkworm). RNAcentral's name for it is "ovarian small RNA-30771". Lineage: Eukaryota; Metazoa; Arthropoda; Insecta; Lepidoptera; Bombycidae. The record is from RNAcentral.
UGAACGCGUUGGCGAUGUCCAGGGAUAC